CUUGUAACCACAGUCUAACCCAGCGGGCACCAGGCGGUGAGACCUCCUGCCGCUGCCAGCCCAGGAUAGCCCCCUUGCCUCUUGCCCAAGGCUCAGGCUACCCCUUGAGGCGUCUGGAGGACACUAGGCUUGACCUGGGGAGUGGCAUGAUGGGGGGCAGGGUCCGAGGCAACGGAGAAGGCAGAAGUGACUUAGAUUGUGAGUGCCACGGGGCUGAGGCCUGCGCCGACCUGGUCUGCUGGUGCUACCAGGCUUGAACAGUCUUCAAAUCCACUGCUAUUAGGCAAAUUACCUGGCUCCCGCUGAACUCCAGCACCUAGAACUAUGUCACACUCGUAGUAGGCCGCUGCAUUGGUUGAACAAAUGAUUUUGAAAGAAUGAAUGUCUUCCUCUGUGCCUGCAUUUCCUCAGAAGGCUGUAACAAAGAUUAAAUAGGAAAAUUCGUGGAAAGUUCAAUUACUA
This 462-nucleotide long non-coding RNA is filed under the name Homo sapiens (human). Its description in RNAcentral is "HSALNT0363190". Lineage: Eukaryota; Metazoa; Chordata; Mammalia; Primates; Hominidae. The record is from RNAcentral.